AGCUGAGCUAUCCCGACCAUUCUUAUCAUAGUAACCUUUAUUAUUUUAGUCGAUGGCUCGGCUCUAUGUCAAUUAAAGGGAAAGGGGGGGUUACAAAUUUUUAUCCAACUACUAAAAUUUCUUUUAUCUUCAAAAAGAUCACUUUUGGGGUUUCAGUAUUCGUAAAGCUAUUUAUUGAUUGUGAAUCAUUUAAAUCAGGAUUAUUUGUUAAAUUCGGAUGUGUAUUCUAUAUCACAUAGGAGAAUAAAAAAUCAUUUACGCCCAACUACGGUUGUCAAAGAAUCAUAAAAAUAAAGCAAUUUGGAACGGAAAGGGAGAGGGUAGGAUAAAGUUUUGGGGCUUGUUUGGGGAUAGAGGGACUUGAACCCUCACGAUUUCAAAGUCAACGGAUUUUCCUCUUACUCUAAAUUUAAUUGUUGUCAGUAUUGACAUGUAGAAGGGGACUCUAUCUUUAUUCUUGUCCGAUUGAUCCAUUCGUUAAAAGGUUAUCGGACUAUGGAGUGAAUGAUUUGAUGAAAACAAUUCGAUUUUUCCUUCAAUGUCUAAUGAAUUUCCACCAAUUCUUCUUCUUCUCUUUUUAAUAUAAAAAAAUAUAUCUAGAGAUUUGGGCCAUCAUUAAUCAUUUUCGAUGGUAUUCAAUAGAUAGGUUUAUCCUUUCUUUCGGACGUUUUGAUGGAAAGAUUCCUCUACCAGUGCCCCCAUUUGUUAGAACAGCUUCCAUUGAGUCUCUGGACCUAUCUUCGUUUUCUGAACGGUUCAGAAAACAGGAUUUGGCUCAGGAUUGCCCUUUUUUUUAAUUCCGGGGUUUCCCUGAAUUUGAAAGUUCUCACCUAGUAGGUUUCCAUAC
This 847-nucleotide unclassified non-coding RNA is filed under the name Utricularia costata. Its description in RNAcentral is "partial contains tRNA-Leu (trnL) gene and trnL-trnF spacer region". The record is from RNAcentral. Lineage: Eukaryota; Viridiplantae; Streptophyta; Magnoliopsida; Lamiales; Lentibulariaceae.